GACGAACGCUGGCGGCGUGCCUAACACAUGCAAGUCGAACGGAGAUAUGAUUUCGGUUGUAUCUUAGUGGCGAACGGGUGAGUAGCGCGUGAGCAACCUGACUCUUAGAGGGGGAUAACACUCGGAAACGGGUGCUAAUACCGCAUAAGACCACGACAUGGCAUCAUGACGAGGUCAAAGGAGCAAUCCGCUGAGAGAGGGGCUCGCGUCCCAUUAGAUAGAUGGCGGGGUAACGGCCCACCAUGUCAACGAUGGGUAGCCGAGCUGAGAGGCUGAUCGGCCACACUGGAACUGAGACACGGUCCAGACUCCUACGGGAGGCAGCAGUGGGGAAUUUUGGACAAUGGGCGCAAGCCUGAUCCAGCAAU
This 368-nucleotide ribosomal RNA is filed under the name uncultured bacterium. RNAcentral describes it as "bacterial SSU rRNA". It matches the Rfam family "Bacterial small subunit ribosomal RNA", at positions 28 to 395 of the family's 1533-position model. The record is from RNAcentral.